AAGAUAGUUACACAAGAACUGCUAACUCUUGUUUCCAUACGUGAAAGUAUGGCUCUCUUG
RNAcentral lists this transfer RNA (60 nucleotides) under Nothrotheriops shastensis (Shasta ground sloth). RNAcentral describes it as "tRNA-Ser". Lineage: Eukaryota; Metazoa; Chordata; Mammalia; Pilosa; Megatheriidae. The record is from RNAcentral.